AUCGAACGCUGGCGGCAGGCCUAACACAUGCAAGUCGAGCGGAGCGGCUGACGGGCGAGUAAUGCCUAGGAAUCUGCCUUGCAGUGGGGGAUAACGUCCGGAAACGGGCGCUAAUAUCGUACACUAUUAUAUGAGCUGAGGUCGGAUUGGCUAGUGGGUGGGGUAGAGGCCUACCAAGGCGACGAUCCGUAACUGGUCUGAGAGGAUGAUCAGGCACACUGGAACUGAGAGACGGUCCAAAGGCCUACGGGAGGAAGCGGUGGGGAAUAUUGGACAAGGGGCGAAAGGCUGAUCGAGCCAUGCCGCGUGUGUGAGGAGGGUCUUCGGAUUGUAGAGCUCUUAACGUUGGGAGGCGUUACCAGCAGAAUAAGCACCGGCUAACUUCGUGCCAGCAGCCGCGGUAAUAC
Molecule: ribosomal RNA, 407 nt
Filed under: uncultured bacterium
Lineage: Bacteria
Description: partial 16S ribosomal RNA
Rfam family: Bacterial small subunit ribosomal RNA
Source: RNAcentral